AUGACAUUUAUGGGAAAGCCUUGGAAAAAUUUAAGGAUCCUGACUGGAGGGAAAUGUUUAUGGCCAUGUCUAAUGAUAGGAAACGUGGAUGGCUAUUUAGACUCCAAGCAUAAAAUCUAUCUUGCAUAUGUGGCAAUGGUGAUGAGACACUAUAUUCUGUUAAUGGUAUUUAUGGCUAUGUUCUUCUUGAAGCUAUUUGGUAAACAAUUUUAUGAGUGA
This is a non-coding RNA of Vicia faba (fava bean), 219 nucleotides long. NCBI's taxonomy places the organism in Eukaryota, Viridiplantae, Streptophyta, Magnoliopsida, Fabales, Fabaceae. The record is from the annotation of a GenBank genome assembly.